This is a non-coding RNA of Manis javanica (Malayan pangolin), 3413 nucleotides long. Lineage: Eukaryota; Metazoa; Chordata; Mammalia; Pholidota; Manidae. The record is from RefSeq and is a predicted model, not a curated record.
CGAUCAGAGUGAACGACUUGGAAGCUUCGCCCGCUGGGAGAUGCACAGCUCAUGUACGCGGGUUCCGCACGGGCAGGGACGCGCGCGCCCCAGGGACCCGCAGCCGAGCCUCCGUCCUGCGCCCCUGCUGCGGUCUCCCGGCCCCCUGCUGCAGCCUGCCAGCGGCUUCAGGUGUGGAUGAAGACCCGCGCUGACAUUACUCACCUUCAUGUGGCAGAUUGUUUGUCCAUGAUGUUUAUGAUUUGACAGAACACAAAUUUAAUGUUCUUCUGAGAACAGUCAGUUUGAGAGAAGAGGAGACGCCUUCCGUGAGUGAUUUGGGGCGGCGUCCUCCUCUGGGAGAAUCCAACAGAUACAUAAAUCUAAUUUAAUUUGUUUCAGAAAAUGGGAGUAUUAAGCUGAAUAUUUGAAGGAAUUCAGGCACUAAAAUCACCACGUUUUCAACUUCCUAACACAGAAAAUAGCCUAAUUGGAUUUGCAUUAUAUUUCUCUGACUUUGGCAUCACAUAUCUUUUUCUCUAGAAAAGGAGAAGGUAUUGAAUCAAAGAAAGACAUCCAGAAUUUCAAAACUGUGGAAAUGAUAUUAAACAUUAUCGCAGAAUUAGUUUUUAGCUAUAUUUGCUUUUUAUUAACCCAACCCCUACAGUCUGGGAGUUCUGCACCUAUUUUAAAUAAGGAGAUAACAUUAGAGUGAGCAAUACCCAACUUUGUUCUACUCUGCAUUCAUGAGUUCCAACUGAGAAAUACUGAUGGUAUUUCCAAAAAUGUGAAACCCAUACUAUGGGAAAUAUGCACGAUGAUUUUGCAUGAGAGAUGAUGUAAAUGAACGUGAUUGACUUUCUCCCUGAUGAAAUCAGAAUUAUUAAAAGAUGGGGGGAAAGGGAACACCAGAUGACUCAAUAUCACACUGUCUUGCCUAAAUACAAGGAGGUCAAAAAAUUAAUAAGUAAAAUGCAAUGUUGCUAACUGAAGCAGCAUCCUUUCUUGUUCCUGUAGCAAAUGAUAUCGGACUGGUACACUUUCCUUUCUCUAUGCUAAGCCAUACUGAGAACAGGUAAAAGUGACUUCACUACUUGCUUCAGGAAACACUUGCUCCUAAAAACAAGACAGCGGCGGACCAAGGCAGCUUACCCAUCAGUCCCAGCCAGCUCGUGCCGCAGGUGGCCUCCAGCUCAUCUCCCAGGGUCCUGCAACCCAAGGCUGUUGUACCAGACUGCCCAAGGCCAACCAGUCCUCUGGCCAGCAAAGCCAUCUGACAGCCAUGCACCCAGGACCCAAGUCCUGCAAAUACCCUGUCCUGCCUUCCUUUUGGAGGAACUACAAAGAUUCUGUUGUUAAAAAAAAAAUUCAUCCAAGUAAAUUUGAAGACCUAACGGAUUUACUAAAUAAAUCAUGAAUUGGGCAGCAUCCCCUCUGGCAAGUAGAGAGAUUCUCUGAAGGGCUCCAGGAAAGGAGAGGAUUUUAAAGGCAGGACAAAGAAGUCAUAACAGAAAAAAGGAUUAUUUCAGGUGAGAUCACCUUCCCUGGGGAAAAAAGGUCUUAUAAGAUGGAUUCCUUUAGGGGAUAGGGAGGACACGUGUAACAUCUAAUCAAUGAUGACCAGAAAAGUCCUGACUGACUACAUUUCUGGGAGAGGUUGUGCAAUUUAGUUAAGUGCCAGUUUGGUGACUUGGUGCAGCAGAAGUGACACCAGGUGGGACCCGUGUCUUUCUUAGCAUUGCCAAUGAGCCGUUCUCCUUCACCGUGAUCCGUCUGCUUAACUUGCUUCGCUCGGUCAACAGGUUUUCCUGGUGGUCCUCUGGGGAACUCACCAGCUGACCAGCGCAUAGUAACAGGUUUGUCUCCUGGUACAGUAUCACGGAGGAAGUGUGGAGGGCAGAAGAAUCAGUAAAGGCUCCAUAACAGUGCGACCAGAGAGCUAGGUUUGCAAGAGUCCUGAGUUCAACUCUGGAUACUGGGAGCUGAGGCUCAUUAGGGGAAACCCUCCACCUCCAAGAACAAUUAGAAGGAGUAAUCCCAAGAGUUUCUGGUAAAAUGAGUGGUGUUGGAACCUUUGAGUUUCUUUCUAUUUGUUCUAGAAUCCAAUGGACAGGAGACAGAUUAACAGGAGGAAAAAAACCACAGAUUUAUGACAUGAGUAAGGAGUCCCAGUAGUGAAAUUGGGAUCCAAAGAAGUGCAGAGGUUGGCAGUUUUAUAUAUUUUAGACUAAGAGACAAUAAAUCUGUGGGGAGUUCACAGAACAAAGCAAACUUAUGUUUGGGAACUUCAAUUAGGAAUUCUAAACAGUAUUUGGACUUACAUUGUAAAUUAAUAAAGAAGCAGUAAGAUUUGUUUGUGCAGCCUCCCUGGCUCUGAAUUCUCUGUCUCUGGUGAGAAGGAUUCCUCUCUACCUCCUGGUUCAGGGAAGGUGCCCUUCACAUGGGACAUUCAUUUCUUGGUUCCAGGGGAACAGAGGAUGGUCAUCCCUCCUGCACCAGCCGGUUCUUCAGUCACUUUAAAUAAAAUAAACGUAAUCAAUAUGCUGAAGAGGCACAUAUGAGGGCAACCUGCCUUUGGUCUCUCCAGUGGCAACCCCCUGCCUUCCGAGGUGGUUAGGGAGAUCUUAGACAUGCAAGACAUGGGAGAAGAAAGUUAAUGUGACCUGGGUGGAAGGGCGAAUAUGAAGGAAACAGGAGAGGAGUCCCCAGUGGGCAGAGCCCUUGUCCCUCCGAGCAGGCGUGAUGGACCGGUAGGGGUGACAGCUAUGAGCCUUCCUGAGCCACCCACCCAGAGCUAAUCCCCAUUUCAUUUCUCCACCUUGAUUUUAAAGUUAAUUAAAAUAUGGUUAAACACUGGUAGUGUCCUAAGUGCUAAGUUUUAGUGAAAAAGAAAAAGAGCAAGAAACGAUUUUAAAUCUGAAUAUCUCACACAUUUGAAACUUGUGACUUUCACAGAAUCCUGCUAUGUCUUUAGUUGAUGGGUUCUUCAAGGUUGUCCAGGGACUCCAAAGACUGCAGUGGGCUCUUGUCUAACAUACAGGCAACAGGUGCUGUUUUCACAUAGUUUCCCUUUGUGUGUUAUUGCUUAUAUUAUAUUUGCAUUUUUGGGGUUGCUGUUUUGUUUUAUUAUUUUCCUAAAUUUAAAAAAUGGAUGAAUGAGCCCUUGGCAGGCCCAUGUCCCGCUCUAGUGCUGUCUUCUGGUGGCCGCACAUGGAACUGCAGCUCCCGGCCCCUGAUGCAGAAGGUGGUCCCUGGAGGGUGGGUGGUCCCAGCGUGUCUUCCCCAGCCUGGCUCAGUCAGGGCCCGCUCACCUCACUGAGGUACUCAGCAUGGUGCUUCGUGCCCACAAACACCACGGUCUGGUCCUGGGGCUGCACCACGUUGUGCAGAAGGUGGAGCAGCACAGCGGCCUUGGAGUCUUCGCGCACAAGGAA